GACGAACGCUGGCGGCGUGCCUAAUACAUGCAAGUUGAGCGCUGAAGGUUGGUACUUGUACCGACUGGAUGAGCAGCGAACGGGUGAGUAACGCGUGGGGAAUCUGCCUUUGAGCGGGGGACAACAUUUGGAAACGAAUGCUAAUACCGCAUAAAAACUUUAAACACAAGUUUUAAGUUUGAAAGAUGCAAUUGCAUCACUCAAAGAUGAUCCCGCGUUGUAUUAGCUAGUUGGUGAGGUAAAGGCUCACCAAGGCGAUGAUACAUAGCCGACCUGAGAGGGUGAUCGGCCACAUUGGGACUGAGACACGGCCCAAACUCCUACGGGAGGCAGCAGUAGGGAAUCUUCGGCAAUGGACGAAAGUCUGACCGAGCAACGCCGCGAGAGUGAAGAAGGUUUUCGGAUCGUAAAACUCUGUUGGUAGAGAAGAACGUUGGUGAGAGUGGAAAGCUCAUCAAGUGACGGUAACUACCCAGAAAGGGACGGCUAACUACGUG
This 497-nucleotide ribosomal RNA is filed under the name uncultured bacterium. RNAcentral's name for it is "partial 16S ribosomal RNA". It matches the Rfam family "Bacterial small subunit ribosomal RNA", at positions 28 to 507 of the family's 1533-position model. The record is from RNAcentral.